Molecule: long non-coding RNA, 833 nt
Filed under: Suricata suricatta (meerkat)
Lineage: Eukaryota; Metazoa; Chordata; Mammalia; Carnivora; Herpestidae
Description: lncRNA (ENSSSUG00005004727.1)
Source: RNAcentral
CUGAGGUCAAGUUCCCGCCUUGUACACCAGCUCCCAAGGGGGCUCCCGGCCCCGCCCGGUGCGAGGAGGCUCCCCAAGCCACCAGGUGGUGCUGCUGCUCCGCGAGUCUCCAGUCCAGCCCCGCCCCCGAGUCUGGCCACGCCCCCAGCUCUGUGAUCCAGCUCUGGCCCCGCCUUCACCACGCCCCUAGGCGCGGGAUCCCGCUGGUUGGCCGCUUGGGCCCGCAUAGAAACAGCCGUAGAUGUGGGUGAGUGCCCUGCGUGGCCCAGACCCGCGGCUGCCCGGGGCAGGGAGGGCCUGCCUCUGCGUCGCUCAACAUUCGGCCUCUGGACGACUUCCGACAGCGUGCAAGCAGAGUUGGACACGGGGCCCAAUCCCAUGAUCCUGGGAUCAUGACCUGAGUUGGAAAACACAUUGGAUGCUAAAACGACCGAGCUGCCCUUAAGAUGAAAUUUGUGAAAGUUCAUCUUAGCCAGCAUUUUGGGAACUCAGUAGUGGGAGGUGCUUCAAAGCUGGUGGAAUCUGGGAGCCUCACAUGGGAGAGCAGCAGCCAAGGGCCUGGGGCUGAUCCCAGCACAUCUGCCCUCAGUGCUCACCAGAGGGCAGCGUGGAGUCGUGUGGAGCCCGGUCUCUGUUCCUGGCAAAGAUGAGGACCCCCUGAGCCCAGCCAUGAGCCGGCGCCCGACGCAGGAGCCCUCUGCACCCUGGCCAUGGAGCUGCUGACCCUGCCACCACCCCCCAGAGUGGAUGUAUCCGAGCCCCCCUGUCACGGAGAUGUGAACAUGGCUGCACACGCUCUUCCACUUGGUAGAGGUGAGCCUUCCCUCAGGGUG